This 1843-nucleotide long non-coding RNA is filed under the name Mus musculus (house mouse). RNAcentral describes it as "long non-coding RNA chr13:114010879-114012722". Lineage: Eukaryota; Metazoa; Chordata; Mammalia; Rodentia; Muridae. The record is from RNAcentral.
AAGCUUUAAACACCUCCCAGAUUAGCUUUAUUUUUAAAUCAAAAGUGCAAGACAGGGAAGUGGUAAUUUGUGUUAGUCCAGCAGAUAUGAAAUUAAUUGAGAUAAAAACAAGAAGUAGCAGGCAAGCCCUUUGGGUGAAGAAAAUAAUGAGUUGUUCUAACUCGUUUCGACAGUCGCAAGAGAAACAUCGGGAGACGUGAGUUCACGGUACUGAGUUUGGAGUCUGUCAUUACACAUCAGCGCCCCUCCACACCAGAAACGGGAGAAAAAGCAGUUCUGUCCAGGAUUGGCUCCUCUCUGGUCCGAUUGUACCCAGUGAGAAAGCUGCAUCCCUUCCCAGUCGGUGACCUCUCAGCCUCCUGGGGCAGGGCUGCUGCUUGAUGCUCCAGAGGGAGGGUCUAGUGAACACAGGGACCUCAUUGUGUUCUCCAGGUCUGCUGUGCAUUUCCCAACAGUUUGGCAACGCUGUGGAACCCAACUACAAAAUCCUCCUAUUUCCUAGGGAAUGUCUGUCAAGCCACAGAAACGCCAACCUCUCCCUGCCCCUGGAAGAUGUUGCCAGUUGCACUCACUGACACACUGCACCCCAGGAACCCCCGACAAGGAACCAUGUUUAUUAUCAGCAGUUUAGUUUUUAGCUUAGUGUAUUAUUUUUUUUUAUAUUAUUAUUACUCCUAGCAUCUAAGACUUUGUGUAUGGGGAAUUUCCUUUUGCAGUUAUGCAGAAUGCUUCGACUGGUACCUAGGAGCACGAAGGAGAGAGGGCUGCCCAACUAGACAUCUACCAGGCAAGGCGAGGUACUUGAGAGAAACUAGCUCAGGGAGCUGAUUCCCGAGGUGCUGGGCCUCACCAUCUCCAGCCUCUGCUCCUCUGGCCUCCGUGUUCCCUUCCAGCUGUUUCUGUUCAUAUCCCGGGGAAGGAAUGUGUCCUUUCCCAUUCUCAUUUCUGAAGCCAGCUCCUUUCCUCUGUUAACUCCCCUUAUUUUGUAUUCAUUUUCUUGUUCAAUUUUUUUUCCUGAUCUAGAACCUGACUGAAGGUACCAGUUGUAAAACCUGAUAGUCACUCUCAUCCAAGUCCCAAAUGCUGUGGUUUUAGCCUUUAUUUGUUUGAUGAAAUAGCUUGAAAAGUAACGUUACUUUUUUUGUUAUUUGGGUUGAAGUAAGGACAAGCCCUAAAUUGCCAUAACCCCAAGUAAAUUGCUCUAAAUUCUGUACCAUACACACUGUGGGGAGACUUGUGACUCAAUACAAGGAGCCAAAUAACUGGCAUAGAUCCUUUAAGAAAGGACACAGUGAGGCAGUUUAUUUCCAGUAUUUUAUGAGAUGGAUUAUAUUCACAUGACGUCCAUUUUUUAAUAGCUCUGCUGUUCCAUUCUUGUCAUAAAAGCAACCAUUACCAAAACUUGUCUGCUUUUCUAGACCAUCCUAAUCCUUUCUUGCAUUCUACAGACAGAUAGAUUACAGUAUACUCACUUUAAACCACUGCCCAGCCCUCUGCCGACCGUGUUGCCACGUUUCAAUAGUUGCUGGCCUUACUGGGCUUUGGUUUUAAGGGCAAAUGGUGCAUAGGUUUCUAGGAACUCCAGAGAAGAUGUCUGUCUCCAUGGGGUCUGCUCCAGGAGACUCAUGCAGGGCAGACUGAGAUCCAUAGGGAGGCAGAUGGGGAAGGCCAUGACUGUCACCUGCCCUGGUUCUCCCUCUAGAGUCUGUAUUAUUUCUCUAGUGUGUGUAAGAUCCACUCCUACUUCUGACUGACGCUAACUUUCCACUUCUGAAAUUCGGGAGCCUUUAAAAAGUGGUUCUCUUGUCUUUUGGGAAAGUCAAGCUCUUCAUUUCUUUUUAUC